UUAUCAUUCUAUACAUUUUAUGUUACGACAUUAAUGUAAGUUCAAAAAUUUGUCCAUAUUGUUCAAAGAAUGAAAGAGAGUUUAGCGAGGCUGAUUAAUCUAAGUUUGAACUAUUAACGGUGAAACGAACGGAAAAAGAGAUACUGGGCGCUGCACACUUCUGUUGACUGCGUGGCAAACACUGGAACAAAAGCGUAGAGACACCGAGCAAAAAAUGGGAAUCCUGUUAAAAAAAAAAUGGACAGCUUAAAUGUCAACGGCAAUAACACUCGUGAAUUUUGUAAUAAUCAAUACAAACAUUUCGUGGCGCCCUACGGAGAGCUCUGGUGUAAUCCGGUAUGGGACUCAUUACUCUGUUGGCCGCCAACGAUAGCCUCUAUUACGGCAAAGCAGCGAUGCCCCUUCGUGGAUGGAUUUGAUACGACUAAAUACGUAGAGAAGAAAUGCGGCUACAAUGGACGGUGGGAGGCACAGAACGGCACAAGCAUGAACGAGGAAUCGUUCAUUGGCUGGGCGAAUUACACUACCUGCUUAACGCCAGAAAUGCUGAAGCUUCAUUACAGAGUCUACAAUAAUAAUGUCGAGGGCGAGAUGAAAAUGGAAAUAGCUGAGAAGACGCGCACCCUUGAAUUUGUCGGUCUCAGUAUAUCUCUGGUGGCUUUACUUGCUUCUCUGGUGAUUUUCUGUCGAUUUAGAUCGUUGCGAAACACGAGGACCAGAAUUCACAAGAAUCUCUUUGUCGCCAUGGUCGUACAGGUGCUGAUCAGAUUAAUGUUGUACAUAGACAUCGCGAUUUAUCGUAGGAAGCCGCACGGCAUACAACGAGGAAUAGGAAAUACUCCGGUAUUGUGUGAGGCCAGUUACGUACUACUGGAAUACGUCAAGACUGCGAUGUUUAUGUGGAUGUUCAUAGAGGGUCUGUUUCUGCACAACAUGGUGACUGUGACGGUUUUUCAAGAGACGUCUUAUUAUCGCAUGUAUCGAUUCGUUGGAUGGGGAUGUCCAGUGCUGAUGACCUCGGCUUGGGUCAUUGUUAUGGCAUUUUAUUAUCAUCCGAAAUCAAAAUUUCCUAGAUGUUGGUCGGGGUACAAUUUAUCGUCUUACUUUUGGAUCCUCGAAGGACCUAGAUUCGCAGUGAUAUUGCUCAACUUUUUAUUCUUGCUGAAUAUUAUAAGAGUGCUCGUGAUUAAGUUACGGCAAAGUCAUACAAGCGAAAUUGAACAAGUUCUGAAAGCCGUGAGGGCAGCCGUGGUACUUUUACCGUUAUUAGGUAUUACUAACGUGCUCUUCAUGAUCGAAGCACCGUUGGAUAACGUAAGCAAGUUCGCUGUGUGGUCCUACUCCACUCAUUUUCUGCAAUCGUUUCAGGGCCUUUUCAUCGCAAUGCUUUAUUGUUUUCUUAAUGGCGAAGUAAGACUCGCUUUGGAUAAAACCAUUGCCGUUUAUCUUUCUCUAAGAGGAGGCGACUUGCAGACUAGAAGACAGUCGACCCUUAGCGGCGGUCAACCUCAGCGAAUAACUUCGGUGAUCGAGAUGGAAGAGGAAGAAACGAGACCUAUUGGGUUGAUGAGACUGUGCUGUCGGGGUAAAAAUACUCCGCCACCAGAUCGACCUGUCGAUUCCACUUUGUGUUACAGAAUACAAGAACAAAGAGAUGAAAAAAUUGAAUGCGUACUUUCUCGAGAGCGAGAAAAUUCCAACGCAGGAAAAGGUGAAAGGAAAUGACAAUGUAUUAGAAUUCUCAAGAUUACAUCCAGCUUGUAAAUACUAUUGAUGACAACAGUUUAAUCGUAGUAAACGCGCAAAUCUCUCAACGUCUGGAAGUCAAUCUCACAG
This 1836-nucleotide unclassified non-coding RNA is filed under the name Acromyrmex echinatior (Panamanian leafcutter ant). Its description in RNAcentral is "pDF receptor, transcript variant X5". The record is from RNAcentral. Lineage: Eukaryota; Metazoa; Arthropoda; Insecta; Hymenoptera; Formicidae.